UACAGGGGGUGCAAACGUUGCUCGGAAUCACUGGGCGUAAAGCGCACGUAGGCGGAUUGCUAAGUCAGGGGUGAAAUCCUGGAGCUCAACUCCAGAACUGCCCUUGAUACUGGCGGUCUCGAGUCCGGGAGAGGUGAGUGGAACUGCGAGUGUAGAGGUGAAAUUCGUAGAUAUUCGCAAGAACACCAGUGGCGAAGGCGGCUCACUGGCCCGGUACUGACGCUGAGGUGCGAAAGCGUGGGGAGCAAACAGG
RNAcentral lists this ribosomal RNA (253 nucleotides) under uncultured bacterium. Its description in RNAcentral is "partial 16S ribosomal RNA". It matches the Rfam family "Bacterial small subunit ribosomal RNA", at positions 524 to 776 of the family's 1533-position model. The record is from RNAcentral.